This 390-nucleotide ribosomal RNA is filed under the name uncultured bacterium. Its description in RNAcentral is "bacterial SSU rRNA". It matches the Rfam family "Bacterial small subunit ribosomal RNA", at positions 29 to 412 of the family's 1533-position model. The record is from RNAcentral.
AUUGAACGCUGGCGGCAUGCCUAACACAUGCAAGUCGAACGGCAGCACAGUGCGUAGCAAUACGUAUGGGUGGCGAGUGGCGGACGGGUGAGGAAUGCAUCGGAAUCUACCCAGUAGCGGGGGAUAACCUGGGGAAACUCAGGCUAAUACCGCAUACGACCUAUGGGUGAAAGGCGGGGGACCGUAAGGCCUCGCACUAUUGGAUGAGCCGAUGCCGGAUUAGCUAGUUGGUAGGGUAACGGCCUACCAAGGCGACGAUCCGUAGCUGGUCUGAGAGGACGAUCAGCCACACCGGAACUGAGACACGGUCCGGACUCCUACGGGAGGCAGCAGUGGGGAAUAUUGGACAAUGGGGAAACCCUGAUCCAGCAAUGCCGCGUGUGUGAAGAA